GCUCAGAACGAACGCUGGCGGCAGGCUUAACACAUGCAAGUCGAGCGCCCCGCAAGGGGAGCGGCAGACGGGUGAGUAACGCGUGGGAAUCUACCCUUGACUACGGAAUAACGCAGGGAAACUUGUGCUAAUACCGUAUGUGUCCUUCGGGAGAAAGAUUUAUCGGUCAAGGAUGAGCCCGCGUUGGAUUAGCUAGUUGGUGGGGUAAAGGCCUACCAAGGCGACGAUCCAUAGCUGGUCUGAGAGGAUGAUCAGCCACAUUGGGACUGAGACACGGCCCAAACUCCUACGGGAGGCAGCAGUGGGGAAUAUUGGACAAUGGGCGCAAGCCUGAUCCAGCCAUGCCGCGUGAGUGAUGAAGGCCCUAGGGUUGUAAAGCUCUUUCACCGGAGAAGAUAAUGACG
Molecule: ribosomal RNA, 404 nt
Filed under: Rhizobium leguminosarum
Lineage: Bacteria; Pseudomonadati; Pseudomonadota; Alphaproteobacteria; Hyphomicrobiales; Rhizobiaceae
Also listed under: 1 other name
Description: bacterial SSU rRNA
Rfam family: Bacterial small subunit ribosomal RNA
Source: RNAcentral